Molecule: small RNA, 611 nt
Filed under: Pongo abelii (Sumatran orangutan)
Lineage: Eukaryota; Metazoa; Chordata; Mammalia; Primates; Hominidae
Description: processed transcript
Source: RNAcentral
GAGGGAUAUAGUAACUUGCCAAGGCUACACAGCUGGCUGCUGACUUGAGUAAACCAAUAGAUAAAAGGAUAUACAAAGGAACACAGCCUACUUGUCAUGACUUCAACCACCUAACAGCCACAGCAGAAAGUGUCUCUCUCCUAGUGGGCUUUUCCGCAGGCCAAGUCCAGCUUAUAGACCCAAUCAAAAAAGAAACUAGCAAACUUUUUAAUGAGGAAAACUCUUGUCAGCACUUGUGGAAGGUGGAUUGGAAUGAAGAAAGACAGAAUGAAGGUAGCAAGACCAGUGAGGAGGCUCUAGUAACUGUCCAGAGACUAAUAGACAAGUCACGAGUUACCUGUGUCAAAUGGGUUCCCGGUUCGGAAAGCCUUUUCCUAGUAGCCCACUCGAGUGGGAACAUGUACUUGUAUAAUGUGGAGCACACUUGUGGCACCACAGCCCCCCACUACCAGCUUCUGAAGCAGGGAGAGAGCUUUGCCGUGCACACUUGCAAGAGCAAAUCCACGAGGAACCCUCUCCUUAAGUGGACGGUGGGCGAGGGGGCCCUCAACGAGUUUGCUUUCUCCCCAGAUGGCAAGUUCUUAGCGUGCGUGAGCCAGGACGGGUUUCUG